CCAGCUCCAAUAGCGUAUAUUAAAGUUGUUGCCGUUAAAAAGCUCGUAGUUGAACCUUGGCCCUGGCUGAUCUGUCCUCCUAAUCGAGCGCACGGAUUCGGUCGGGGCUUUCCUUCUGGGGAGCCCCAUGCCCUUCACUGGGUGUGGCGGGGAACCAGGACUUUUACCUUGAAAAAAUUAGAGUGUUCAAAGCAGGCCUUUGCUCGAAUACAUUAGCAUGGGAUAAUGGAAUACGACUUCGGUCUUGUUUCGUUGGUUUCGCUUGGCUGAAGUAAUGAUUGAUAGGGACAGUUGGGGGCAUUAGUAUUUAGUUGUCAGAGGUGAAAUUCUAGGAUUUACUAAAGACUGACCAAUGCGAAAGCAUUUGCCAAGGAUGUUUUCAUUAAUCAAGAACGAAAGUAGGGGGAUCGAAGACGGUCAGAUACCGUCGUAGUCUCUACCGUAAACUAUGCCGACCAGGGAUCCGGAGAGUUUGCAUGGAUGACUCCCCGGGCACCUUGUGAGAAAUCAUAAGUGUUUGGGUUUUGGGGGGAGUAUGGUCGCAAGGCUGAAACUUAAAGGAAUUGACGGAAGGGCACCACCAGGAGUGGAACCUGCGGCUUAAUUCGACUCAAC
RNAcentral lists this ribosomal RNA (615 nucleotides) under uncultured eukaryote. RNAcentral's name for it is "bacterial SSU rRNA". It matches the Rfam family "Eukaryotic small subunit ribosomal RNA", at positions 585 to 1204 of the family's 1831-position model. The record is from RNAcentral.